GAAAUGCGAUAAGUAAUGUGAAUUGCAGAAUUCAGUGAAUCAUCGAAUCUUUGGACGCACCUUGCGCUCCUUGGUAUUCCUUGGAGCAUGCCUGUUUGAGUAUCAUGAAAUCUUCAAAGUAAAUGUUUUGUUAACUCAAUUGGUUUCUACUUUGGUAUUGGAGGUCUUUGCAGCUUCACACCUGCUCCUCUUUGUUCAUUAGCUGGAUCUCAGUGUUAUGCUUGGUUCCACUCGGCGUGAUAAGUUAUCUAUCGCUGAGGACACUGUAAAAGGUGGCCAAGGUAAAUGCAGAUGAACCGCUUCUAAUAGUCCAUUGACUUGGACAAUACUUUUAUGAUCUGAUCUCAAAUCAGGUAGGACUACCCGCUGAACUUAAGC
Molecule: unclassified non-coding RNA, 378 nt
Filed under: plant metagenome
Description: partial contains 5.8S ribosomal RNA, internal transcribed spacer 2, and large subunit ribosomal RNA
Rfam family: 5.8S ribosomal RNA (bases 1-105)
Source: RNAcentral